Monodelphis domestica (gray short-tailed opossum) is the source of this 5681-nucleotide non-coding RNA. The record is from RefSeq and is a predicted model, not a curated record. Lineage: Eukaryota; Metazoa; Chordata; Mammalia; Didelphimorphia; Didelphidae.
UAUGAGGAGAAAUUGGAACUUUGCCCAAAGAGCUAUAAAUCUGUGAGCCAAGGAAAGGUAACAGAAGACUAUCGCAAUAGUCCAGCUUUGCCAUAACAUGUCCUGUUGCUGAACUUUGGCAGUGUAAAACAAAUUAGAUGGACAAUGAGGUGGCACAGAGGACAGAGUGCCAAUCACUCCUAUAUCUAUGCGAAGAAAACUUUAGAUGGAAUCAAAGAGAAUCAGACAGAAUGGAAACAAUGGGACAAUAAGAAGAAACUAGAAUUCAUCAUUUCAUUUCAUCAGAUCAUAAAGUAAAACCAAAAUAGAUGGACAGUGAGGUGGCACAGUGGACAGAGUGCCAAUCACUCCUGUAUUUAUGUGAAGAAAACUUUAGAUGGAAUCACAAAGAAUCAGACAUAACAGAAAUGAUGGGACAACAAGAAGAAACCAGAAUUUAUCAUUUCAUUCCAUCAGAUCAUAAAGUAAAAUGAAUCAAAUGGACAGUAUGGUGGCACAGAGGACAGAGUGCCAGUCAUUCCUAUAUCUAUGUGAAGAAAACUUUAAAUGGAAUCUCAAAGAAAAAUCAGACAGAACGGAAACAAUAGGACAAGAGGAUACCAGAAUUCUUCAUUUCAUUCCAUCAGAUCAUAAAGUAAAACAAAUCAGUUAGAGAGUGAGGUGGCAUAAAGGACAGAGUGCCAAUCACUCCUAUAUUUAUGCAAAGAAAACUUUAGAUGGAAUCACAGAGAAUCAGACAGAACGGAAAGGACGGGACAACAAGAGGAAACCACAAUUCAUCAUUUCAUUCCAUCAGAUCAUAAAAUGAAUGGUGUUAUGGCACAGAGGACAGAGUGCCAAUCACUCCUAUAUUUAUGCAAAGAAAACUUUAGAUGGAGUCACAAAGAAUCAGACAGAACAGAAAUGACGGGACAACAAGAGGAAACAGGAAUUCAUCAUUUUAUUGCAUCAGAUCAUAAUGUAAAACCAAAAUAGAUAGACACUGAGUUGGUACAGUGGACAGAGUGCCAAUCACUCAUAUAUCUAUGUGAAGAAAACUUUAGAUGGAAUCACAGCGAGUCUGACAGAAUGGAAACAACAGGACAAGAAGAAGUAACCAGAAUUCAUCAUUUCAUUCCAUCAGAUCAGAAAGAAAAACGAAAUCAGAUGGACAGUGAGGUGGUGUGAGAAGAAAACUUAGAUGGAAUCACAAGGAGUCAGACAGAACGGAAACGACGGGACAAGAAGAACCCAGAAUUGAUCAUUUCCAUUACACCACAUCAGAAAGAAAAACGAAAUCAGAUGGACAGUGAGGUGGUGUGAGAAGAAAACUUAGAUGGAAUCACAAGGAGUCAGACAGAACGGAAACGACAGGACAAGAAGAACCCAGAAUUGAUCAUUUCCAUUAGACCACAUCCGAAAGAAAAACGAAAUCAGAUGGACAGUGAGGUGGUGUGAGAAGAAAACUUAGAUGGAAUCACAAGGAGUCAGACAGAACGGAAACGACGGGACAAGAAGAAUCCAGAAUUCAUCAUUUCAUUACACCACAUCAGAAAGAAGAAUGAAAUUAGAUGGACAAUGAGGUGGUGUGAGAAGAAAACUUAGACGGAAUCACAAGGAGUCAGACCGAACGGAAACAACAGGACAAGAAGAAGAACCCAGAAUUCAUCAUUUCAUUACACCACAUCAGAAAGAAAAAUGAAAUCAGAUGGACAGUGAGGUGGUGUGAGAAGAAAACUUAGACGGAAUCACAAGGAGUCAGACCGAAUGGAAACAACAGGACAAGAAGAAGAACCCAGAAUUCAUCAUUUCAUUACACCACAUCAGAAAGUAAAACCAAAUUGGAUGAACAGUGAGGUGGCACAGUGGACAGAGUGCCAGUCACUCCUAUAUCUACGAGAAGAAAACUUUAGAUGGAAUCACAGCGAGUCAAGACAGAAUGGAAACGACAGGGAAAGAAGAAGAAACCAGAAUUCAUCAUUUCAUUACACCACAUUGGAAAGUAAAAUCAAAAUUGAUGGACAGCGAAGUGGCACAGUGGGCAGAUUGCUAACCACUUCAAUAUUUUUGUCAAGAAAAGUCUGUAUGGAACCAAAAAGUCAGUCACAACAGAAAGGAAGGAAGAAAAGGACCCAGAAUUCAUCAUUUCAUUUCAUCAAUUCAGAAAGUAAAAUCAAAAUUGAUGGACAAUUUUGUCCAUCCAAUUGUGCGAGGUGGCACAGUGGACAGAUUGCCAACCACUCCAAUAUCUUUGUCAAGAAAAGUCUAUAUGGAACCAUAAAGAAUCAGGCACAACAGAUACGAAGGAACAGACAAAAGAAACCAGAAUUCAUCUUUUAAUUGCGGAUAAGAAAGUAAGAUCAAAAUAGAUGGGCAGUGAGGUAUCGAAGUGGGCAUAUUACCAAUCACUCCAAUAUCUUUGUCAAGAAAAUUCUACAUGGAAUCACAGUCAGAUACAACGAAUAUGACGGAAGAACCAAAAGAAACCAGAAUUCAUCAUUUCAUUUCAUCAGAUACAAAAUAAAAUCAAAAUAGAUGGGCAACGAGGUGGCACAAUGGGCAGUCACUCCAAUAUCUUUGUCAAGAAAACAGGAGAUGGAAUCACAAAGAGUCAAGCACAAAGGAAACGAAGGAACAACAAAAAGAAAGCAGAAUUCUCCAUUUCAUUUCAUCAGAGAAGAAAGUGCAAUCAAAAUAGAUGGGCAGCAAGGUGUCACAUUAGGCAGAGUGCCAAUCACUCCAAUAUUUUUGUAAAGAAAACAGAAGAUGGAAUCACAAAGAAUCAGGCACAACGGAAACAAAGAAACAACAAAAAGAAACCAGAAUUCAUCAUUUCAUUUCAUCAGAGAAGAAAGUAAAAUGAAAAUAUAUGGCAGCAAGGUGUUACAGUAGGCAGAGUACCAAUCACUCUAAUAUCUAUGUCAAGAAAACAGGAGGUGGAAUAACAAAGAGUCAGGCAUAAUGGAAAGGAAGGAACAACAACAACAACAACAACAAAACGAAUUCACCAUUUCAUUUCAUCAGAUAAGAAAGUAAAAUCAAAAUAAAUGGGCAGUAAGGUAGCACAAUGGGCAGAGGGUCAAUCACUCCAAUAUCUUUGUCAAGAAAAGUCUACAUGGAAUCACAAAGAUUCAGGCAUAACAGAAACGAAGAAACCACAAAAAGAAACCAGAAUUCAUCAUUUCAUUUCAUCAGAGAAGAAAGUAAAACCAAAAUAGAUGAGCAGCGAGGUGGUAGCAUAGUGGGCAGAAUACCAGUAUCUAAGUCAAGAAAAGUCUUCAUGGAAUCACAAAGAGUCAGGCACAACAGAAAGGAAAGAACAACAACAACAAAAAAAAAACACCAGAAUCCAUCAUUUCAUUUCAUCAGAGAAGAAAAUGGGCAGCUAUGUGUUACAGUGGGCAGAGUACCAAUCACUCCAGUAUCUAAGUCAAGAAAGGUCUACAUGGAAUCACCAAGAGUCAGGCACAAUGGAAAUGAAGGGACAAGAAGAAGAAAACAAGAAUUCGUCAUUUCAUUUCAUCAGAUCAGAUAGUAAAAUAAAAAUAUAUAGGCAGCAAGGUGGAACAGUGGGCAGAAUACCAAUCACUCCAGUAUCUACAUCAAGAAAAGUCUUCAUGGAAUCAAAGAGUUGGGCACAAUGGAACAGAAAGAAGAACAAAAAGAAACCAGAAUUCAUCAUUUCAUCAGAGAAGAAAGUAAAAUAAAAAUAGAUGAGAAUCAAGUUGGCACGGUGCGCAAAGUGCCAACCACUCCAGUAUCGAAGUCAAGAAAGGUCUUCAUGGAAUCAUAGGGCCGGGCACAACAGAAACAAAGGAACAACAAAAAGAAACCCAAAUUUGUCAUUUCAUUUCAGCAGAGGAGAAAGUAAAAUAAAAAUAGAUGAGCAGCAAGUUGGCACAGUGCGCAAAGUGCCAACCACUCCAGUAUCGAAGUCAAGAAAGGUCUUCAUGGAAUCAUAGGGCUGGGCACAACAGAAACUAAAGAACAACAAAGAGAAACCAGGAUUCCUCAUUUCAUUUCAUCAGAGAUGAAAGUAAAAUAAACAUAGAUGAGCAGCAAGUUGGCAUAGUAGCCAAAGUGCCAACCACUCCAGUGUCGAAGUCAAGAAAGGUCUUCAUGGAAUUACAGGUCCGGGCCCGACAGAACCAAAGGAACAACAAAGAGAAACCCGGAUUUGUCAUUUCAUUUCAUCAGUGAUGAAAGUAAAAUAAACAUAGAUGAGCAGCAAGUUGGCAUGGUAGCCAAAGUGCCAACCAUUCCAGUAUUGAAGUCCAAAAAGGUCUUCUUGGAAUCACAGGUCCGGGCCCGACAGAACCAAAGGAGCAACAAAGAGAAACCCGGAUUCCUCAUUUCAUUUCAUCAGUGAUGAAAGUAAAAUAAACAUAGAUGAGCAGCAAGUUGGCAUGGUAGCCAAAGUGCCAACCAUUCCAGUAUUGAAGUCCAAAAAGGUCUUCUUGGAAUCACAGGUCCGGGCCCGACAGAACCAAAGGAGCAACAAAGAGAAACCCGGAUUCCUCAUUUCAUUUCAUCAGUGAUGAAAGUAAAAUAAACAUAGAUGAGCAGCAAGUUGGCAUAGUAGCCAAAGUGCCAACCAUUCCAGUAUUGAAGUCCAAAAAGGUCUUCUUGGAAUCACAGGUCCGGGCCCGACAGAACCAAAGGAGCAACAAAGAGAAACCCGGAUUCCUCAUUUCAUUUCAUCAGUGAUGAAAGUAAAAUAAACAUAGAUGAGCAGCAAGUUGGCAUGGUAGCCAAAGUGCCAACCAUUCCAGUAUUGAAGUCCAAAAAGGUCUUCUUGGAAUCACAGGUCCGGGCCCGACAGAACCAAAGGAGCAACAAAGAGAAACCCGGAUUCCUCAUUUCAUUUCAUCAGUGAUGAAAGUAAAAUAAACAUAGAUGAGCAGCAAGUUGGCAUAGUAGCCAAAGUGCCAACCAUUCCAGUAUUGAAGUCCAAAAAGGUCUUCUUGGAAUCACAGGUCCGGGCCCGACAGAACCAAAGGAGCAACAAAGAGAAACCCGGAUUCCUCAUUUCAUUUCAUCAGUGAUGAAAGUAAAAUAAACAUAGAUGAGCAGCAAGUUGGCAUAGUAGCCAAAGUGCCAACCAUUCCAGUAUUGAAGUCCAAAAAGGUCUUCUUGGAAUCACAGGUCCGGGCCCGACAGAACCAAAGGAGCAACAAAGAGAAACCCGGAUUCCUCAUUUCAUUUCAUCAGUGAUGAAAGUAAAAUAAACAUAGAUGAGCAGCAAGUUGGCAUAGUAGCCAAAGUGCCAACCAUUCCAGUAUUGAAGUCCAAAAAGGUCUUCUUGGAAUCACAGGUCCGGGCCCGACAGAACCAAAGGAGCAACAAAGAGAAACCCGGAUUCCUCAUUUCAUUUCAUCAGUGAUGAAAGUAAAAUAAACAUAGAUGAGCAGCAAGUUGGCAUGGUACCCAAAGUGCCAACCAUUCCAGUAUUGAAGUCCAAAAAGGUCUUCUUGGAAUCACAGGUCCGGGCCCGACAGAACCAAAGGAGCAACAAAGAGAAACCCGGAUUCCUCAUUUCAUUUCAUCAGUGAUGAAAGUAAAAUAAACAUAGAUGAGCAGCAAGUUGGCAUGGUAGCCAAAGUGCCAACCAUUCCAGUAUUGAAGUCCAAAAAGGUCUUCUUGGAAUCACAGGUCCGGGCCCGACAGAACCAAAGGAACAACAAAGAGAAACCCGGAUUCCA